Molecule: ribosomal RNA, 103 nt
Filed under: Schistosoma margrebowiei
Lineage: Eukaryota; Metazoa; Platyhelminthes; Trematoda; Strigeidida; Schistosomatidae
Source: RNAcentral
GCCAGCGACUAUAACACGUUGAAAGCACCGGUUCUCGUCCGAUCAACGCAGUUAAGCAACGUUGGGCCCCUUCAGUACUUGGGAGAAGUGAUCAGUGUAUGAC